CGGACCGACGGGAGCUUGCUCCCUUAGGUCAGCGGCGGACGGGUGAGUAACACGUGGGUAACCUGCCUGUAAGACUGGGAUAACUCCGGGAAACCGGGGCUAAUACCGGAUGCUUGAUUGAACCGCAUGGUUCAAUCAUAAAAGGUGGCUUUUAGCUACCACUUACAGAUGGACCCGCGGCGCAUUAGCUAGUUGGUGAGGUAACGGCUCACCAAGGCGACGAUGCGUAGCCGACCUGAGAGGGUGAUCGGCCACACUGGGACUGAGACACGGCCCAGACUCCUACGGGAGGCAGCAGUAGGGAAUCUUCCGCAAUGGACGAAAGUCUGACGGAGCAACGCCGCGUGAGUGAUGAAGGUUUUCGGAUCGUAAAACUCUGUUGUUAGGGAAGAACAAGUACCGUUCGAAUAGGGCGGCACCUUGACGGUACCUAACCAGAAAGCCACGGCUAACUACGUGCCAGCAGCCGCGGUAAUACGUAGGUGGCAAGCGUUGUCCGGAAUUAUUGGGCGUAAAGCGCGCGCAGGCGGUUUCUUAAGUCUGAUGUGAAAGCCCCCGGCUCAACCGGGGAGGGUCAUUGGAAACUGGGGAACUUGAGUGCAGAAGAGGAGAGUGGAAUUCCACGUGUAGCGGUGAAUGCGUAGAGAUGUGGAGGAACACCAGUGGCGAAGG
This 672-nucleotide ribosomal RNA is filed under the name uncultured Bacilli bacterium. RNAcentral describes it as "bacterial SSU rRNA". It matches the Rfam family "Bacterial small subunit ribosomal RNA", at positions 67 to 721 of the family's 1533-position model. Lineage: Bacteria; Bacillati; Bacillota; Bacilli. The record is from RNAcentral.